Molecule: ribosomal RNA, 653 nt
Filed under: Lactiplantibacillus pentosus
Lineage: Bacteria; Bacillati; Bacillota; Bacilli; Lactobacillales; Lactobacillaceae
Description: bacterial SSU rRNA
Rfam family: Bacterial small subunit ribosomal RNA
Source: RNAcentral
ACUCUGGUAUUGAUUGGUGCUUGCAUCAUGAUUUACAUUUGAGUGAGUGGCGAACUGGUGAGUAACACGUGGGAAACCUGCCCAGAAGCGGGGGAUAACACCUGGAAACAGAUGCUAAUACCGCAUAACAACUUGGACCGCAUGGUCCGAGUUUGAAAGAUGGCUUCGGCUAUCACUUUUGGAUGGUCCCGCGGCGUAUUAGCUAGAUGGUGGGGUAACGGCUCACCAUGGCAAUGAUACGUAGCCGACCUGAGAGGGUAAUCGGCCACAUUGGGACUGAGACACGGCCCAAACUCCUACGGGAGGCAGCAGUAGGGAAUCUUCCACAAUGGACGAAAGUCUGAUGGAGCAACGCCGCGUGAGUGAAGAAGGGUUUCGGCUCGUAAAACUCUGUUGUUAAAGAAGAACAUAUCUGAGAGUAACUGUUCAGGUAUUGACGGUAUUUAACCAGAAAGCCACGGCUAACUACGUGCCAGCAGCCGCGGUAAUACGUAGGUGGCAAGCGUUGUCCGGAUUUAUUGGGCGUAAAGCGAGCGCAGGCGGUUUUUUAAGUCUGAUGUGAAAGCCUUCGGCUCAACCGAAGAAGUGCAUCGGAAACUGGGAAACUUGAGUGCAGAAGAGGACAGUGGAACUCCAUGUGUAGCGGUGAUGGG